Molecule: long non-coding RNA, 592 nt
Organism: Rhinopithecus roxellana (golden snub-nosed monkey)
Lineage: Eukaryota; Metazoa; Chordata; Mammalia; Primates; Cercopithecidae
Exons: 3
Source: RefSeq, a predicted model, not a curated record
ACAGAAGAACUUUAUUAAUUUUGUCAUUUUCAAACGGGUCAGAUAUUUAAGAAGUGUCCCAAAGCAGGCAGAAAGUUUUUUUCUGUGUUGUAGUCUUCAAAAAUACGUAGACAUUCUGCUGAAUUCCCCUCCCCUGAUAGCACAGAUUUCUAGUCUAUGCACUGGUUAUAUUGCCCUUCUGCUGCAAUGCAGUCUUUCAUUUUCUAAGUCUUUUCUUUAAUUUCCCCAGUAAUAUGUGGGUUUGCUGUUUCAGGAAUUCCUAAUGUUCAGGGAUGUGGCCCUAGACUUCUCCCAUCAGGAGUGGGAAUACCUUGACCUGUUUCAGAAGACCUUGUACCAGGAGGUGAUGGUGAAGAACUAUGAGACUGGGUUCCGCCAUGUUGCCUGGGCUGGUUUCAAACUCCUGGGCUGAAGCGAUCCACCUGCCCCAGCCUUGUGAAGCACUGGGGUUACAGGCAUGAGCCACCAGGCCUGGCCUGUUUUAUUGUUUAAUACUUGAACAUUCAACGCUUUCAGUUGACAGCAGCAGUCCCAGCCUCUGCAUAAUUAAGCCAAAAAGAGAUGGAGUCUCACUGUGUCACCCAGACUGGAG